Molecule: ribosomal RNA, 381 nt
Filed under: uncultured bacterium
Lineage: Bacteria
Also listed under: 1 other name
Description: bacterial SSU rRNA
Rfam family: Archaeal small subunit ribosomal RNA
Source: RNAcentral
AUACCGGCAGCUCAAGUGAUGGCCGCUUUUAUUGGGCCUAAAGCGUCCGUAGCCGGCCGAACAGGUCCGUCGGGAAAUCUGCUCGCUCAACGAGCAGGCGUCCGGCGGAAACCAGUCGGCUUGGGGCCGGAAGGCUCGAGGGGUACGUCUGGGGUAGGAGUGAAAUCCUGUAAUCCUGGACGGACCACCGGUGGCGAAAGCGCCUCGAGAGGACGGACCCGACGGUGAGGGACGAAAGCUAGGGUCACGAACCGGAUUAGAUACCCGGGUAGUCCUAGCUGUAAACGAUGCUCGCUAGGUGUGGCACAGGCUACGAGCCUGUGCUGUGCCGUAGGGAAGCCGAGAAGCGAGCCGCCUGGGAAGUACGUCCGCAAGGAUGAA